This is a long non-coding RNA of Pseudophryne corroboree (corroboree frog), 931 nucleotides long. RefSeq lists it as uncharacterized. NCBI's taxonomy places the organism in Eukaryota, Metazoa, Chordata, Amphibia, Anura, Myobatrachidae. The record is from RefSeq and is a predicted model, not a curated record. The transcript has 5 exons.
CAUGGAGACACAGACUGCUUUCUGAACCAAUUCGCAGGAUCAAGCCGUGCCAUGUGUCAGCAGCAAUGUCGCGGGGAGACUGUACAAUGAGAGUUGAGAAGCAAGGCGUAAUAAUUUUCUAAUGUCAGGCGCAGCAGAAGGCUUCUCAGCGCCGCACAGCACCUGCCUCUCCAGAGUCCAGCUCGACACCACCGUGACAUCACAUCACAUCCUGCAGGGUGACUUGACAAGCGCCGCCCCGCCACCACCGUAUAAUUGCUUGCAAGUGCGCAGCAGCUCAGCUGCUCCGUGAAGGCGGCCUUGAUGGCUGUGAUACAACUACUCGGCUGCUGCUGAUCACCGGCAAUAGGCUGCAUUGUCAGUAUCCUGCAGUGCCUCUGCGAAAGCUAUUCAGCUGCCUGGUGACACAUGCACAAAACGUGUACUUUUUGUCCACAGGUUCACUAUCUCGGGUUUCCAUGGUGACGGGUCUCCUCGGAUGAUGAGUAUCACGCAUGACGUGGUCACGUCAUCUCUCAGCGCCUCAGCCACCGGGCGGGUCCCGCCGGACGGGCGCCGCUGCUAUUCACAAUGGUGGGGAUAUAAGGUCUCACAGUCCGGAAACUGCCCAAGAAGAGGAAAGAAACAUUGGAGGAGCGGCUGCAUAAAGAGCUUCCCGACUGCAUUUAAAGCAAAAGUGACAUUGGCAUUUCCCCCAUGCUUACAUCUAAUUGGUAUCAGUGACAUCACUGGGGGUAUAAGCAUUCAUCUGCAGGAAUAAGUCGCUGUGGGAUAAUAAUGCCUAUUCCAGUGGUUCCCAAACGUUCUUGAAUCAUGGCUCCCUAGAGUAUCAUAAUUUUUUCACGGCACACCUAGCAUAAAAGUUGUUUAUUGAUAAAUUUGGAAAAAAAAUAAAGUAAAUUGUGCCUACCUGUCAUCCUUAGGGUCGGCU